RNAcentral lists this non-coding RNA (93 nucleotides) under pig gut metagenome. The record is from RNAcentral.
AACCGGGGAGCUUGCGGCAAGCAGGCUGAGAGUAGACUGUAUCGUCUUGACCCAUGAACCUGAUAUGGAUAAUGCCAGCGUAGGGAAAAUAUU